Molecule: ribosomal RNA, 442 nt
Filed under: uncultured bacterium
Lineage: Bacteria
Description: partial 16S ribosomal RNA
Rfam family: Bacterial small subunit ribosomal RNA
Source: RNAcentral
CCUACGGGUGGCAGCAGUAGGGAAUCUUGCACAAUGGGCGAAAGCCUGAUGGAGCCAAGCCGCGUGAAGGAUGAAGGCCUUCGGGUUGUAAACUGCUUUUAUAAGAGGAAAAAAUUAAGGUAACUUAUGAAUAAGGAUCGGCUCACAUCGUGCCGGCUGCCGCGGCGCUACGUCAGGUCCGAGAAUUAUACGGAGUAACUGGGCGUGAAGAGUUGGGUAGGGGGGGUAAUAAAUAGAUGGGUGAAUCUGGUGGCGCAACCAUUCAGACUAUUAGCGAAACUGUUAAGCUCGAGACCGUUAGAGGUAACUGGAAUUUCUGGUGUAGGGGUGAAAUCCGUAGAUAUUAGGAAGAACACCGAUUGCGUAGGCAGGUUACUGGGACGGUACUGACACUGAGGCACGAAAGCGUGGGGAGCAAACAGGAUUAGAUACCCGAGUAGUC